RNAcentral lists this ribosomal RNA (477 nucleotides) under uncultured bacterium. Its description in RNAcentral is "partial 16S ribosomal RNA". It matches the Rfam family "Bacterial small subunit ribosomal RNA", at positions 28 to 523 of the family's 1533-position model. The record is from RNAcentral.
GACGAACGCUGGCGGCGUGCUUAACACAUGCAAGUCGAACGGUAAGGCCCUUCGGGGUACACGAGUGGCGAACGGGUGAGUAACACGUGGGUGAUCUGCCCUGCACUUUGGGAUAAGCCUGGGAAACUGGGUCUAAUACCGAAUAGGACCGCGCACUGCAUGGUGUGUGGUGGAAAGCUUUUGCGGUGUGGGAUGGGCCCGCGGCCUAUCAGCUUGUUGGUGGGGUGAUGGCCUACCAAGGCGACGACGGGUAGCCGGCCUGAGAGGGUGUCCGGCCACACUGGGACUGAGAUACGGCCCAGACUCCUACGGGAGGCAGCAGUGGGGAAUAUUGCACAAUGGGCGCAAGCCUGAUGCAGCGACGCCGCGUGGGGGAUGACGGCCUUCGGGUUGUAACCUCUUUCAGUAGGGACGAAGCGCAAGUGACGGUACCUACAGAAGAAGCACCGGCCAACUACGUGCCAGCCGCCGCAGUAA